Long non-coding RNA from Strigops habroptila (Kakapo), 4950 nucleotides. Lineage: Eukaryota; Metazoa; Chordata; Aves; Psittaciformes; Psittacidae. The record is from Ensembl.
CAGUAAUGCUUCUUUAUUUUUAAGAAAUGUCCCUAGCUGUUAAUGUUCCAUAGCAUGGCUUAUUGUUUCAUAUAUUCACAGACAUUUAAUGCCCCUGGGCAGGGAUUAUUUGGGUGGUUAUGUUUUUCUCUUUUCCCUGAAGGCUUCACAGACCUUCCCAAAGUUCCCCUGCAGCUUGGUGAGUGCAGUUCAGCGAGUGCAGUUCAGCAUGUCCCAGCUCCUGCAUGGAAAGAAAGGAAAGGUCUUGCAGUUAGAUUCAGCCAUUUAGUUUUCUUAGGCAUCAUAUGGUUUCCUACCCUCCAGACAGCUUAGUUCUCCAGCCUACAGCUCUGGGUUUCCCUGCUGACUUGGUCAUGUGCAGAAAGUACAAUCCAAUUACUUCUUCCAUGUGGAGAAGAUGCAGAGAGUCAGCAGUGAUAGAUAGAUCCCUGUAGGGCAGAAAGACCCAUUCUCUGCAAAAUAAUGAACCCUGUAGCUAAAAGAAAAAAAGAGAGAGAGAAAAAAACUUGAAAAAACACAGCUUCACAACCGAGAGCCCACAGCCCUGAAUGAGUUUAAGUUGAAAGUUCAUGUAAUCACUGCUUCGGGCUCUCUUCAGUGUCAGAGGGAUCUCAGUUUACACACUGGUUAUAUGUUUAAUCUUGCUUUAGUGGCUGCAAUCAAGUCAAAAGUUUUUACUGUUUGGGAGGUUUUUUGAGUGGAGGCCAACACCAUGUGUAGGGAGAGAUGGCUUGCUUCCAUUCCACAGACCUGAAAUAAUCAGUACCCCAGUGCGAGCUUCACUUUUUUCAGAUGCACUAUAGGCCAAAACUUCUUUCAUAGCCCUGGACUUCUGCUCUGGAUAUUCUUCAGAGGUGUGAGCAUGGACAUUUCUGAAGCAAGUACUGACAUUAUCAGUCACAGCAGCCCCUGUGCUAGUGAUCUGAUUUUCAAAGUGAUGAAAGGAAAGCUGCUGGUGCUUUUUCACCUCUGAACAUCAGACAGCGUGCUCACAGCCUUCUCUGGAUGGAGGCAUUUGAUAUUAGCCACUGUUCUGAAAAUUGUUCCCUCUUGCUAUGUUAUGAACAUGGAUGCAAAAACCUAAGCACUGCUAUCAUUUGCAAUAAGAAGCAGUGAAUAUCCACUUAUCACUGCUGCAACAUAAACACAUUAGUUAUAAACACAGAUAAUUGACUGUCUUUGAUGUCACUGUAUUCAUUAUUAUGAAUUUCUUUCCCUACUGUGGAAGUCAGUAUAUUUGGGGAUCUUAAUGGAAGCAGUGCCAUUUGGAUAUGCGUAAAAUUGUAGAUCUUGCAACACAGUCCUCUAACUGAAGAUUUUGGAAAACUUUUCCUCUCCCAAAACCCGAUAUUGUCAGUUAUGGGUCUGUGAAAUGCAAACAUCAUUCACUAUGUAGCAGAGCAUGGCUCAGAAAAUCUUCCAAUACUAUUUUUCCACUUUGCAGCUGCAGCAGUGUUCACUUUCUCCACUUGCUGAGGAGCCUGAACUUCACCACCACAAAUGAAAGAACAAAUACUUUACAGUCAAGCACCCACUUCACAUUGCACAGGCCCUGGUGUAAUUCAGAAGAAGCAGUGCACGCCGUGUGAGUGCUGCCUGCAUCAUCUGGUCAGAGAAGAGACUAUUCCCCCAUGUGAUGUGUAACACCCUCAGCAAAGCCUGGGCUGGCUGAUGGCAGCCUUUCUCCCGUGGAGGAGCAUUUGCUUCUGCAAUAGUUUCACAGAAACCAGUGGGUGGCAGAAUCAGACUCUGACUGUAGCCACCUCUUCCCAGGUGACCUGCACGUCAGAAAUGGGUAUUUUUUUAAUUAAGAACCUGGCAAACACAUUUUAAAUACAUGCAGAGAUAUUUUUCAGCCUGCCCACAGCCAGUUUAAGCCAUGGAGGGGAACUUCUGUGGGCUGCAGAACAAGUGGGUGGUUUUCAAAAGCCAGUCUGAUGCCUAACAACAGGUGAGUUUAUUAGCCUUUCCACCUGUGAGGCAUAGCGUCUGUUUCCAUCCAGCAUGGGCAAACCGAAUUGCCUCAAAGACUGCUGACCCGUCUGUCAAAAGUCAUUGGCAGCAGGUCAGCAGGAUCAAACUCUGGUGUGGGGCUUGUGGAAGGAGCAACCUGCCACACGCACCCUCACCCAGGGCUGCAUAAAUCUCACUUCUUUAGGAAUUCAGAUUCAAAAUAUAUUUGACUUCUGCCCUCUUUAUAUUAUGCAUUUCAUUCAGCUGUGCUUCAAUCACUGUUCGCCAGCCUCCCCUGCUCUUUUGAGGCUGGAGAAGUCAUAAAUAUGGCAGCCCCCUUUGAGUGUUAAUGCUGGAUGCCGUCCAUGACUGCUGAGCUGCAAUAUGCGAGCCAGCGAUACCACAAAGUGAGAGUUUAUAUUCCUUCCCUAUUACAUAUUUUUAGUGUAUAAAUCCACAGAGCAGAAGAAAUUUACAGGGGAGUGAGUGGUCAUGGGGAAAGUAAUCUGCAUAUAAAGCAGUGGCAGAUACCUUUUUCUUCCUGGAACUCCUGUUGGGAAGUUUCACACCAGGCUGAACCACUGGUGGUUUUUUCUUGUGCUUGAGUUAAGGGCAUGGAGACUAACUGACAUUUUUUAUCCAUUAUUCAUUUAGCAAUGGCUCCAGCGAGCAACUUAAUGUCAUAUGUUUUUCACUUACAUGAAUUGCAAUAGACUCUUUUCUUCUUCAAGCCUGCCUGCACUGGGAAAAUUAUCUAAGUUGUUUUACAAUUGGCAUAGCUUAAACUGUUUGGGAGAUGCAGCAAAGACCUGGCUAUGAACAGCUUGAGGUAAGUGAUCCGUUUUUAUUGAUGUGGUUUCAGGCUGUGGCCUGAACUACAGCUACUGUGGCAUAACACCACCUACUAAAAACUGAAUGAUUAUACCACUACUUAAACCAGAAAUCAUAGAAUCAUAGACUGGUUUGGGUUGGAAGGGACCUUAAGGCUCAUCUAUUUCCAACCCCCUGCCAUGGGCAGGGACACCUUCCACUUGACCAGGUUGCUCAAAGCCCCAUCCAACCUGGCCCUGAACACUGCCAGGCAUGGAGUAUCCACAACUAAUAUCUUGGCUUUCUUGAAAUACACAAUAUCUAUCUCCCUUGGACUGAAAUUACUUCUAUUCCCCAAAUUGCUCAUUCUCUCUUGAAAGGACUAGCUUUCAUUGGGACACUAGAGUCUUUCUUCCUUUGUUUCCCUAACCUCCUUUAAACGUGGUAUUUUAAGUCAAUGUAUCAUUAACAAACCCAGAUGAGAUUUUCAGUGCAGCCUUUACUGACAGAAUCAAAAUUACAUGAAAUAUUGCAUUUUGAGGCACUGAUCUGUAUGCAGUCAAGAAAAGGUAGAUUCUGAUCUGGCCAGGUGAAAUGCUCCCAGUUAAAUCGCAUCACAGGCUCUGUGCAACCUUUGUGCACUAAUAAAAUGGAGGGGCUGGAAAGAGAAAAAUUCACUUUCUGAGUCUAAGAGGAAGGAUGUGAAUUAAACCACAGCUGAAAACGUGGAGCAGAAAACCUUGGUGGAUCCCCAAGAGACAGAGAUGGUAGAUUGUUUGCCGAAGGAAGGCGGCUGAGGAGGAGGAAGAGAGGUGCUACACAGAAGGGAACAUUCAUCUCUGCAUUCAAGACCUCUUGGUCCCGACAUGAGAAGCAUUUGAGUCAUUUGAUGUGGUGGAUUAAAAAUUAUCCCAUAGGCACCAAGGCACAUUUUCUGAAGGCUAGUGAGAUUUGCUGCAUUUCAGCUGGAGUCAGAUGCACAUGCCUCACUAAAGCAUGAGCCCAAGUCCUUGUGCAAGAACACUUCCCUCAGCGUGGGAUGAAUUCCUGCCUCAAAGGCAAGGUACUGGCCAGGUAAAGGUAGCAGAGAUCAUGCCCAAGGGGCCAUGGUCAGUCGGAUGUGCUCAGCCCGUGUCGUGGGAGCACCAGAAGACUGUGCUUUUCCUGCAGCUCCUGCCUCCUCUCCCUACUGGAGUUCUCACACAGAGGGGCAGGGGCUGCGCUUCACAACGUGCCAGGGAUAUGGCCACAGGGAAGAGGAGAAGGAAGGCAGAGAAAAUGCCAUUGCCCUCAUGGGAACUGAUCCAGGGGUUCCUGUGAAACUGGGGGGCAUAUGGUCAUAUGAAGAGAUGUUCGGUCCAUUUCAAAGGAGAGAGAGAGAGGUUCCUUUGAAGCAGAAAUGGGCUGUAUUUCCGCUCAGUGCUCUCCUAUCUUCUCAGGUGGACUAUGGCCACAUCUCAGGCCAUCUCUGGAGUGGGUUUGGCUUCCAGGGCCCCCAGGCCUAUGCCAGAGCUUUACAGUAUGGUAAGAGGUAACUGGAGCUGUUCACCUACCUCUGCAAAAAGACUGCCGGUCACAUUUUCCCUGUACUUUUUCUUUCCAGGGCUAGCCAUAAAGGAGAUUCAGUAGCCUGUUGGCAAGACCAUGAGCCCUGGUUUACAUCAGCUGGUGAGGAGGACAUCUCCAUGUAGUGGAAGGCACUAACUUGUUCUCAUCUCCCUAUCUUCUAUCUGCGUGGGAGGAUGCCUGAUUCCCAGGCUGGAUUUUCUGGCUGUCAAAUGACCCAGCACAGGACCCUGCCCUUGGUGCUGUGAAACCCCCUAGAAGGAAAUGCCUGUCUCUCUCCAAAGCCAAACCAGCCUUACACCCCAGGCUAAAAGCUAGGUGCCCAAAGUUAGGCCAUGCAAAGGUCUCCUUUGAGCUCUGCAUUGAGUGUAAAGGAUACCUGAGAGCGCACACAUCACCUUUCCAUCACACCAGAAUUAGUUCCUGUGCAAAACAGUUUUGAAUUUGCAGAGAUUAGAGGGUGUCAUGUCCACCCUUUUCUUGCUUCCAAGAAGCUAAAAUUCUCACAUAAAAUCCAAGCUAAGAUGGUUUUGGUUGUAUAAUCAUUAAAAAGCAUGCUGAACAAUGAGGCAACAAACCCCUUAUGUCUUCUGAGUAAUGAUUGUAUGUGGUCCUUGGUGC